Molecule: long non-coding RNA, 588 nt
Organism: Dermacentor andersoni
Lineage: Eukaryota; Metazoa; Arthropoda; Arachnida; Ixodida; Ixodidae
Source: RefSeq, a predicted model, not a curated record
UCAUCACAUGUGCAUUUGCAACACAUUGGCGGAGGCAAUACGAACUGCAUUUCUCGCUAGCUGGACAAAUCGGAAUGGCAAUGCAUCUUGGAGAACAAGACUCGAAUUGUGAAAGUCUGGUGGUUUUCGCCAAGUUUCACAGAACUUUGUAUUAUGUCAAGAUGGGCUAACACCAUGUCACCUGAUGCUGUCACUCUCUGGGUGCCAUGGAUAAUGAAGAUAGGGAAGUACAGGCUAGCAUCGCUGUCCAAGAUCCAUCCGGCAGCUUCUCUGUCACAGGUCCAUGUGUCCCAACUGCUGGUCUUCAAUGGGAGUUGACACUAGGAGGUUCCCAGAUAAAAAAAAUUUAUAUCAAGAAUUUUCCACAGCAUUUUCCACGUUACCUCUGUAUGGUUGGAUACACUGACCGGUCGACACCCCUGAGAAGGCUUCCUUGCAAGCUCGUGCAGCAAGACUUGCCUCUAAGCAGCAAAAGCAAAGAAAGGAGAUGAAAAGUCUGCAGCAGUCAAGGUGGCAUUUUCAAAAAGAGAAUGCUAAACUGAAAUCCGUUCUGAAAAGACAAAACACACAAUAUAUUUUAUUCAGAGA